GCCUAGCCUUAACAUAACAAUUAAAUAACCCAUUGUUCGCCAAAUAACUACGAGUUACAACUUAAAAUUUAAAAGACUUGACGGUACCCCACAACAACCUAGAGGAGCCUGUCUAAUAAACGAUACCCCACGAUUAACCCAACCCACCAUAGCCUACCAGUCUAUAUACCGCCGUCGCCAGCCUACCUCCUGAGAGAACAAAAGUGAGCUAAACAGCCUAUCACUAACACGACAGGUCAAGGUGUAACUAAUGGGUGGGAAUAAGAUGGGCUACAUUUUCUACUCAGAAUAUACGAAUUAAACUUUGAAAAAACAACUGAAGGCGGAUUUAGCAGUAUACUAAGGACAAAACACUUAAUUGAAACCAACGCAAUGGGGUGCGCACACACCGCCCGUCAUCCCUGCCACCAAAACAACACAUUUAUAAUAACUACACAUAUACCAACCAGGGCAAGUCGUAACAUGGUAAGCGUACUGGAAAGUGCGCUUAGAAA
This 494-nucleotide ribosomal RNA is filed under the name Oligodon fasciolatus. RNAcentral describes it as "partial 12S ribosomal RNA". It matches the Rfam family "Bacterial small subunit ribosomal RNA", at positions 794 to 1522 of the family's 1533-position model. Lineage: Eukaryota; Metazoa; Chordata; Lepidosauria; Squamata; Colubridae. The record is from RNAcentral.